Molecule: long non-coding RNA, 1728 nt
Filed under: Triticum aestivum (bread wheat)
Lineage: Eukaryota; Viridiplantae; Streptophyta; Magnoliopsida; Poales; Poaceae
Description: long non-coding RNA (TAES_LNC023901)
Source: RNAcentral
UCCAUUGAAAAAUUCAACAUGGUAAUUUUAGCAUAAGCAAGUGUGAUAAAUAUAUCAUUAACACCCUGAUAACUAUAGCAUUAGCACCAUGAUAAUUACAUAAGAGUCGUGUUGGUAGUCUAAACAGUGGAAGAAUCAGUGAAAGACGCUACAUCAACUGUUGUAGAACAAAAAAUGUGAGCCACGAUGGCGAAGGGAGUGGUGACGGACGCACUCGUCGACAACGUGGUCUGGUGGGGCACGCCAUGAAGCUUCAGAAUUCUCUUUGUGAAUGCACCUAUGCGCACCUUGACACCCAUGUUGUAUCUUGUGUGAAUCUUCCUUUUUGUCUGUCUGAUCUUGCUAAGAAAUCUGCAAUCACUUCAAGUCCAUUAUCCUGCUUUGACAAAAGUCUGAAACUAGUAGCAACAUGUUUAAGCUUCAGAUUUGAGAGUCAAGUCAGGAGAGUGCCAGAAACAUAUGGAGGAGGCAAGUGUCAAACAACAAUCACCCUCGUCCCAGAAAUUCCAUGGAGAAAAUUUCGAGUAGUUACCAGUUGCAACCUAGCUCACAAGGUGAUGCGCGUUAACAGUACUGAAGCAAUAUAAAAGUAGUUAACCACCAGCAGAAACGCGAAGCUAUUAGUCCGACUGAAAGAGGACCAGGAGCAGGAGAUCAACAAGGAGAGAAGGGAGGAAACAAACGACAGCAAUGGCGAGUGUCGAAGGAGACGUGAAGCUGUUGGGCCUACGGCUGAGCCUGUUCAUUGCACGUGUGCGCAUGGCGCUGGACGCCAAGGGCGUGGGCUACAAGUAUGUCGAGCAGGACCUGGCUGCCAAGAUUCGACGAGUACUUUGUUCACACCGUCUACAUUCCCAUUCUUCCAUAAUAGAUCAGGUAAUAACCGACCAUACAUGAGCUCCAGUGAAUGUAGAACUAAAGCCAGUAAAAAUAUCACUACAAUCUUUCCUUUCCCGGAGGCAAUGGCAUGCAGUCCAGCCAAGAUCCCAAAAUACAAAAAACAGAAGUGCAGCAAAAACAACAUGUUUCCAUUAAUCAUUGUCAAACUCAUUUCUACCAAGUGAUAGUCCAGCGCCGUCUCAUUUCUAGACAAAAGUGCAACUCAGAAAGCCGGCCGGCAUUUCACCAAAAAGCACACACAUAAUUCACCCAAAAUUUGAGAUGAUACGAGAUGGAGCCUACAAUAAUCUAGUCUUUACAUAGGCAUAACAAUGUGCAUGCGGGAGCAGGUACAGUUCGAAUAAACCAUGUCGGCAGCAGUGAUUUUGAAUGUUGAAGAGGGGCAAGAUGGGAAGCACUAGUGAUUACCAGGAACUUGUGGUAGACGAACGCCCUUGGCUCCCACGAGACGAACUCCAUCCACUGCGCACCCCGCUCGCCCGGCCCCUCGCGGACAACAACAGAGACAACCGUCGGGAUCAGAUCAGCUAGCACUGGAUCGAAGAGAAUAUGGAGAGAGACUAGUGCAUCGGAACCACUCACACACUCACCACAGGUCGCGGCGGGCGCGCGCGGGGCGUGAGGAGUCACCGGAUUCAGAUGCGGCCUCGUCGUCGCCGGAUGACUCGGUCUCAGCGCCGGUGGUGGGGAGCGUGGGGGAGGAUACGGGGAGCGGGCCGGCCAGGCGGACGGGAUGGUCGCGCUCCUGGAGGGGGCCUUCGAAGAGUGCUCGGACGGCGGCGGCUUCUUCCGCGGCGGCCGGCUUGGGAGGACGCUGUGUGGGGAUUC